UGGCUGCUCACUAUUCAAUCACAAG
This 25-nucleotide non-coding RNA is filed under the name Mus musculus (house mouse). The record is from RNAcentral. RNAcentral also lists the same sequence under 1 other name. Lineage: Eukaryota; Metazoa; Chordata; Mammalia; Rodentia; Muridae.